This 76-nucleotide transfer RNA is filed under the name Klebsiella phage KP8. RNAcentral describes it as "tRNA-Gln". It matches the Rfam family "tRNA". Rfam says of the family: Transfer RNA (tRNA) molecules are approximately 80 nucleotides in length. Their secondary structure includes four short double-helical elements and three loops (D, anti-codon, and T loops). The record is from RNAcentral. Lineage: Duplodnaviria; Heunggongvirae; Uroviricota; Caudoviricetes; Schitoviridae.
GGGGUAUCGCCAAGUUGGUUAAGGCAUCGGACUUUGAUUCCGACACUCGCAAGUUCUAAUCUUGCUACCCCUGCCA